Molecule: long non-coding RNA, 1725 nt
Organism: Jaculus jaculus (lesser Egyptian jerboa)
Lineage: Eukaryota; Metazoa; Chordata; Mammalia; Rodentia; Dipodidae
Exons: 2
Source: RefSeq, a predicted model, not a curated record
UCACAUUGCUUCCCGAGGUGACAAACAGCGCAGGGUCAGCGUCGCGGUCAGAGGAAGCGCGGAUAAUCGGCUGGUCGGGGCCGUCUGGGGGCAGGCGGGGGUCGGGAUGUGAAAGACUCCUGAACAGUGGGUCCCCGGCCUCCCGAUCUCGUGACACCUCCCCACACACAUACUCACAGAAGACGCUCACGUCGGCCUCAGCCUCCGUGUGGCCGAAGGGGCUGCGGACCCGGCAGGUGUACCGGGCGUGGUCACCGCGCACAGGACGAGAGAUGACCAGCUGGUCCCGCUCCACGCGGAUGCGAGAGGACGCUGUUCCAUCGGGGUCCGCAACCUCCAAGGCACGCCCAUCCUUGCUCCAGCUCAGCUCCCCGCGACCCGGACUCCACCCCAAGCAGCGCAGCCUCAGUUCGGCAGCCCCCUCCUCGGUCUCCGGGGCCUUGGGAUGAACCGACAGCCGGGGUAGGGGCUCUGGAGAGGGGGGAAACAGAUGCGUCGGGGAAUCUGGGCCCUAGAACUCCCUCCCUUACACUUGGGACGUUGGGGUUCAGCGUCUACCCACUCCUAGCACCAGAAGUUGUGGUCAGACUCAGGAGGCUACAUGCUGGCCCUCCUCCAUCAGAUUCAGGACAGGCCCCAAGCCUCCUCCCUCAGACCCAGGGGUCCAGACCCUGUCUUGGCCCUUAGCCUCUCCCCUCCCCAGAUCCAGUCCCACUGGGGAGGGUCCAUGCUCACACAGUCCAGUGACUUGUCCAGAGGUAUGUGAGCAGAGCAGGCCCUGUAGCCUGCCCCACUUACCGUACACACCCACCGUGAACUCCCGAAUGUGCCGGGAGACCCCUCCCCGGAUGACCUCAGCUGUGUAGACACCAGCAUCACCCAGCUGGGCAGACGUGAGUUCUAGACCCCCUCGGGCUUGGUCAAAUCGAAGGCGGUCUCGGUGCACUGGGUCCAGGCUUAAAAGAGGAGCCCCUGGCCCCAGGCCUCCAGCCGCCAGCACCUUGGAGCCCCGGCGCCAGACUACCAAAGGGGCAGGAGGCCCAGGACUGGGGACAGGAGUCAGAGGGAGACGGAUGGUGGUCCCCACCAGCACAGCCAGGGGCCCUCCCACCUGCUGCGCGAAGUUUGUGGCUGGCUCAUGGGACAAAUCUGGCAAGAAGUACGAAGCCACGUCCCCAUCUAAGGGAGACACCAUGGACAUAAGCCAACAGGUGCCCACUUUGGGAAUGGCCAAACCCAAUAAACACACAGACCCAGGAGGUUACUUCAGAUAAGAAUAAAUAGGAAGACGACAAAACAAAAUGGUGUCACAGGCUGAGCAGACGAUGAAGAACACUUUGGAGGAACUAAAACAGGAGAAAGUUCUAGAACUGCUGUGCCAUCUGGUAGCCACUGUCCUUGUGUGGCUAUUGAGCCUCUGGAAUGUGGCUGAAGAAGGAGGCCUUAAGAUUACAUUGGAAAACAUAUGAGAUAGUGUCAUGACCAUGGUGACAAUUUCAUGAGUAAACACACGUGUCAAAAUUUAUCACACUGCAUGCUUUACAUGUGUGUGUCUUACUACAGGUUGGUGAUGUCUCAAGAGAGCUGUGUUGAACACCCUGAUGGUGUAGUAACCGGAACUGUGAAGUCUGUUUGGAAUAACUUGGAUAUGUGCAAUCAACUUUUUCAACUGUGAGCUUCAGGAAUUGAAAUAAAAUAUUUCUUUUGUUGUUUUGUCUCACUUUA